UAGCGAUGGUAUUUGAAGACACUAUAGUAAGAAAAGUGAUUGACCCACGCCUUACUCAAUAGAGUUUUCAUAACCUAAAGAGGAUAGCGUAUGCCCUUUGGGCUCUCUCUGUAAUUCCUCCUGACAGAAGCUAUGCAUAUUCCACAGAGAAGCUAAGUCACUAAGGGGAUUAAGCAGAAGGUUCUAGAAAGAGCCCAGUCUUCUCCACUCUGUGUGCUGAGGGACCUCUGGGGUUAAAGGUAAAGCUCUGAGGCAUCUUGGUUGGAAGGAGUACAUGAGAGAGUCAUCUCCUUGCAGCUGCAUCUCCUGCUCAAAGCUCCCAGGAAGCCAGCUGGGAACUGGACUAGGAAGUCAGCGGGGUGGAAGCUACUGGGUUACUUUGAGAGAGCUGACUAGGUCUCCAGGUGACGGAAUAGUGUAAAUACCUUCAAGUUUGUGUGAGGAACUUCAAGUGGGAUCAUGGGUAAUGAACAAGAGCUGGAACUGGGGGUUGGCUCAAUAAAUGAGUUUGAGAGAAGUGGGCAUCAUGUGCCCCUGCCCCCAAGGGCUGGGCUUUAGUUGUGUUCUCUGAUAUUUAUCCACUCGUUCAUAGACGCUCUUGCUAGGCAACAUGCCGAGGAUGCAGGUGAUUGCAGCGGGCAUUUUCCCCGGCCUUGAGUCCUCGUUUGGCAGAAACAAAAGCCAGCCCUGAUAGACAAUCUCAUGCCAAGCCUCCACCCCAGCUUUGAACGUUUGCAAACUGCACUCAGUUCAUUCUCUAAGAUGUCAUGAUUGGAUCUUUGGCAUGAAAUAGCGGUGGGAAUUAUGGCUUUGCAAAGCUGAACAGAGUGACGGGGAUGCUGUUUAGCCAUGGUUGCUCUUUCUGUUUCCCCUCUGCUCCGUCUUCUCUCCCCUGCUGCUUACUAGGCGUCUGUGAAGUGAGAGGCGCUGGGGUAACAAGACUUGAGCUGACUAUACCUGCGUGAAGAGCAGGUUGUAAUUGUCACUGGGAAGGACAGCAGAGGAUGGGAACCAACUUUAGAUCAAGAUGGUUGUGAUGGCUAUUCCUGGUUGUCAACCUGACAGCAUCUGGAAUGAACUACAAUCCAGAAGUGGAGGGCACAUCUGUGAACCAGAUCUUGAGGCAGAGUGGACAUGAAAAACUUAGGCCCAGGCAAGGGCCUCUGAUCCCAGGAGACAGAGGCAAGCAGAUCUCCGAAUUCAAGGCUGGUCUGGGACAGAGCAAAGUUCCACAUCUAAACAUGGUGUAACACCCCUUUAAUCCGUACCUUCUGCUGGAAGCUACAAAAGGACAAUGGAAGAAGGAAGUGUUUAUUCUUCACUUUGCUUGCACUCACUUGCCAGCCGGAACCUACCGGAACCUGCCGGAACCUGCCGGAACCUACUCCUUCAGGAUUCCAGCGUCUACGGAAGACCAGCGGAAACAACCAGCCUCGUGGGACUGAGCAACUGCUAGAUUCUUGGACUUCCCAUUCACAGCUGCCCAUCGUUGGGUGAGUUGAACUGCGGGCUGUAAGUCAUCACAAUAAAUUCCCUCAAUAUAUUAGAUAAUCCACACGUUCUGUGACUCUAGAGAACCCUGAUUAAGACAGUGGUCAACAGGGGCAUUUGCAGGAAGUGAGUUCAGACUGUGGAUGUUUAAUCUCGGCAGGAUGGAUGUUUUGGGACACAUGAUUCUUUGUUGCUGGGGACCAUCCUGGUCACUAAGGACCCUUAGCUGCGCCACUGCCUUCUGCCCACUAAUGCAAUAGCCCUACACCUGCUGUGACAAUCAAGGUUGGCUCCAGAUGCUACCAACUAUCCCUCGGAAGGCAAAGUUACUUCCAACUGAAAACCACUGGGGAGCCCAUCAAGUAGAGCGUACCGAGUUGUGUAGGUCGCAGUAACUUGUUUUCACUUUAGGUAGAUGUCAAAUAUUUUCAAGCAGGGGUGACAUUAUCUACUUUGCGUUUUGAAAAGAUCAUUCAGAUUGCAGAGCCAUGGCUGGAGUAAUGUCCACGCUCAUCGUGGUUAGGGGUGUUGUGGUCACUAAUGUCAAUUGUCAGCUUGACACAACUUUGAAUUACCUGGGAAGAGAGUCCCAACAAGGAAUUAUCUACAUUGGAUUGGCCCGUGGACAUUUCUGGGCGGGAUUGCUCCAACUGCACCAAUUGCUCUUGCAGAGGAUCCUGGUUCAAUUCUCCCCCACCCCCCAAAUGACAGUUUAUAGCUGUCCCUAACUCCCAUAACUCUAGACUUAGGGGAUCCAACGCCCUCCUUUGGCCUUCACUGGUACUGCAAGCACGUGGUGCCCAGACAUACAUACACAGCAUAAAGUGAAGCUAAAAAGUCUAGUCACAGCCCCUGGAGAGAUUGCGGGGUGGAAGGACAGUUACAACCUCAGGAAAGGAACAAGAUGGCUUAUUGAGUUGAAUAGCAUCUGGUCAUGGUCAUGGUGACCAGUGAAUCCUGACUGUGACCAAAGUUUGACAGUAACUAACAGGCAUUGGGGACAGGGACUGACGUGGUGUAGCAAGGGCCUUAAGUGUUAGAGGAAACUGUGUGAACAGCCAUGAAAACCUCUAACCAAGUAUUAGAGGCACGAGUAAAGCCCGUUUGUUGGUUUUUAAUUGCACAGAACAUGGCUGCCAGGAUUUUAAAUUGUAGGUCUGUGAGGGUGUAAUUAAGUGAGAGGCCCAGUUGGACCGACUGGGACACCAGGUUGUUGAUGGAGCUUGUGAGAACGGUCUUCUGAUAUUAAAAUUCAGGUUCUGAGCUAUCUGCGUCACUCACUCUAUUUGUAUGUUUUACCUCUAGCUAGCCCUCUAAGUCCCAAAUAUAAAUAACCAGCCCCCGCAGAGUACUUUUUCUGCUGUCCGUGUGAAAAGCCCUGUCUGAGGCUUGAUGGUGCUCGAAACUGAGAGGUUCGGUAGGACAUUUUCUUGAUGCCAAACACAGGUCCUUCAUCUCAGCUCCAUCAGGAGCCACCCCCAUCCGUCCUGUAAGUCUCUUCUGUAGAUGGAGGUGUGAAUGUAGUAACUGUGUUCUUCACUCUGUAAAAGGCCUGAGGACAACCUGGGAAUGGUGGUUUAGACUUGUAACCUCAGCACUGAGGAAACUGAGACAGGACAGAGAACUCAAGGCCAGCUCGAGCUACACAGUGGGUUUGAGAUCAGCCUGGCCUGCAUAGCAAGACCCUGACUAAAACAAGAAAACACAAGAUCGGGAGACUCAGCGUCUGGGUAGUGUUAGGAAACAAGAAACCCUAGGUGCCAGGCCCAUAGUCCUUUCUGGAAUAACCCCUAGGCUUCUUACUUGGCUCUAGCCCAGCUUCUUGUCUCCACACGUAUUACCCUCCCCACCCCCUGCCACACACACACAGAGUUCAACAGGACUUCCUUUCUGUCAGGCGUGUGACUCGGCCAUGCAUGUUUCAUGGAUUGGGAGGAGGGCCCUGUAGCCCAGGUAACCAACUGCUCUGUGAAAGGGCAGGUGACUGUUCACUGUUCGAGUCAUAGAGAAAGCAUUUUAACUUGGCAAAUAUACUUAGUGGACUAUAAUGGCCUGGAAGGGUUCUGCCUCUCCCCCAAAGUGAGCAAUUUCCUCCUUCAGCUCUGCCUUCACAGGCCCAUGACGUCAUAACGACCCUGUGCGUUUAUCUGUAAUUACCUGGAGUGGCAGCCAGCCCUUUCAAGAGGUUCUUUGGUCCAGUCCUAGAACACUCUCAAAGGUGGGUGGACAGAUGGAUGCCCUCUUCCCAGAGUACAGGAACCAAGGUAGACAGCCUUGGGGUACACAGCAGGUGGCAAAACUGACCUAAAAUGAAGAUCAAGUGUCUGCAGCCUUCUGGCCAUCUCCUGACCCUGAGUUCUGUCAAUUUGGGCUGUGCUGCUGCCCUAGCAGGUUGGGAAGUUUACAUGAAGGCCAGCGAAGGGAUUUGCCAGACUCAGCGGGAAAGAGAGAAACAGCUGGAUGAAGCCAAACAAUAUCCCUGCCCAGCUGUGGACUCCACGGACUGCUGUGAUGCACACCUUUCAAUAUUCGCCUGUCCCACCUUUUACCCUGCUCCCUUCUGCAUGGCAUGCUGUCUGACUCUACGGCUGCUGUCCUUCUGCCAACAGUAAAAAAUUAAUUCAUGUAAUCUAAA
Molecule: non-coding RNA, 4126 nt
Organism: Rattus norvegicus (Norway rat)
Lineage: Eukaryota; Metazoa; Chordata; Mammalia; Rodentia; Muridae
Source: RefSeq, a predicted model, not a curated record